Molecule: ribosomal RNA, 566 nt
Filed under: uncultured bacterium
Lineage: Bacteria
Description: partial 16S ribosomal RNA
Rfam family: Bacterial small subunit ribosomal RNA
Source: RNAcentral
UGGGGAAUAUUGGACAAUGGGCGCAAGCCUGAUCCAGCCAUGCCGCGUGUGUGAAGAAGGCCUUCGGGUUGUAAAGCACUUUUGUCCGGAAAGAAAUCCUUGGCUCUAAUACAGUCGGGGGAUGACGGUACCGGAAGAAUAAGCACCGGCUAACUACGUGCCAGCAGCCGCGGUAAUACGUAGGGUGCAAGCGUUAAUCGGAAUUACUGGGCGUAAAGCGUGCGCAGGCGGUUUGCUAAGACCGAUGUGAAAUCCCCGGGCUCAACCUGGGAACUGCAUUGGUGACUGGCAGGCUAGAGUAUGGCAGAGGGGGGUAGAAUUCCACGUGUAGCAGUGAAAUGCGUAGAGAUGUGGAGGAAUACCGAUGGCGAAGGCAGCCCCCUGGGCCAAUACUGACGCUCAUGCACGAAAGCGUGGGGAGCAAACAGGAUUAGAUACCCUGGUAGUCCACGCCCUAAAACGAUGUCAACUAGUUGUUGGGGAUUCAUUUCCUUAGUAACGUAGCUAACGCGUGAAGUUUGACCGCCUGGGGAGUACGGUCGCAAGAUUAAAACUCAAAGGAAUUG